GUGCUUCACAUUUUUGGUAACUAAGUAGUAAAGGAGACAUUAGCACAUGUUAGGUCACAUGCUCUCAAGGCUCCACAUGUACAUCCAACUGUG
Molecule: long non-coding RNA, 93 nt
Organism: Sinocyclocheilus rhinocerous
Lineage: Eukaryota; Metazoa; Chordata; Actinopteri; Cypriniformes; Cyprinidae
Exons: 3
Source: RefSeq, a predicted model, not a curated record